This is a long non-coding RNA of Aegilops tauschii subsp. strangulata, 2267 nucleotides long. RefSeq lists it as uncharacterized. Lineage: Eukaryota; Viridiplantae; Streptophyta; Magnoliopsida; Poales; Poaceae. The record is from RefSeq and is a predicted model, not a curated record.
ACUACCUAGUGAUUGUCGCUCACUCGGCCCCUCCGCUCAUGCCGGCCGGCCGCGCCUCGACGUCGCCGGUGGUUCGUGCGUGGCCCUCGGUCAAAGCGGUUGAAUAUGAUGCCGGCUGACAGCCGUACCAGUCUCCAGCCAACGUGUUCGUCACUAUCCUCAUCCUAGCCACAGCUCUGCUCCCAUCACCGAUCAAGCUGCAUCACCGAUCAAGCUGCACCAACGUGGUCGUCACUUGGUGCACGGCAUGUCGAAUUGUUGGUUCGUUGGUUCGCCCACAAAUACCGUAGCUAGCACCGGCACCGCCGCAUGUGCUGUGCACUCGACCACACGUUCGUUGAUACACGGAACUGUUUCCUCUUGAUACAGUACCUUCCAAGGAAAGUUGCUGUCCUGGCCUUCCCUUUUCGUUUCUCUGCUCUGCUUCGUCUUCCUCCCACGAGACGAGACUCUCGCGUCCUUUCAAGCCAGUCAAUGAACAGAGCCAUCGCCCAUCCAUCUGACAGAUGGGCCAGGGCGCAUGACAGCCUCAGUUUUAAUGCAGCCGCCCUCUCCUCCCGCCAGAUUACGACCAGGAGCAGCGCGUUCAUUGGCUGCGUCGCUUCGCUUAGGCUUUGUUUUUGACCAAGGCAUGCUGGCUGGUUCCAACAUCCUUUUCUUCUUCUUCUUCUUCGGUUGGAUGGCACCCACUGGCCGGGUCGCGCUUGUGGAUUACCUCUUUUGUUUCCCUAUCUAGGUCAAGAAACGAAUAUACCGCAGGAGUACAUACAGAGAGUUGUGCAUGCCCGGCACCGCAGGUGCUUCUUCUGAUCCUCUUUGUGCAUGGGGAUUUCUCCUCGGUCACAAAGCGGUUGAAUAAGAAGAUCACGGCUGAGCUGACGGCCAGACCAGCACUAGCAUAGAUAGUAUACCUUCUUAUACUCCAAGUCUAGUCUAGAAGAGAACGCAAUAACCAAAGUCCUUGUCGACCAGCAAACAGAAUCACACAAAGGACAAAGCCAUACCUCCCGUCGUCUCCCCUGCGUUGCUUCUUUCAAGAGAAAGAGCAAUAGCACUGCCCUCGCAAAAAAAAGAAAAAAGAAAAGAGCAAAUAGCACUGGUGAUAUGAUCUUAGGCGCAGGGCUGCCAAGUGCAGUGCUACGACUAGGACGCAGCGUGUACGUGUUCGCCACUACCUAUGAAUCUCAAACCAGUAAGUAGUUUUUCAUAUUUUUUUAUGAAAAGGAGUACUCCCUCUAUAAACUAAUAUAAGAGCGUUUAGAUAUUAGUAAUCUAAACGCCCUUAUAUUAGUUUGCGAGGGAGUAGCUUUUUGUUCCUGAUGCCAUCCGAUCCCUGCCGCUGCAAACUCCCAAGUUAAAAUAAUUAACCACCACCACUGGCCAAAAAAAGGAAAAGAAAACACCACAAGUUGCAGCCGUGCUCUUUUCCCACCAGGAGCAACGCUGGUCGCUGCGCUUAUGCUUUGUUUUUGACCUGGCCGGUUCCAUAAUCGUUAGUAUACUUCUUCAGUCGGAUGCCACCCACUGGGUCGCUCUUGUGGCUGUUUUCUCUUUCUCCAUCAGAAAACACACAUACACAGUACUCCCUCCAUACCAAAAUAAGUGGCCCAACUUUAGUAAUAUAGAUUUAUAUUAAAAUUAGUACAUAGUUGAGACACUUAUUUUAAGAUCGAUCGGAGGAAGUAGAAGUACAUGUACAUACGUACAUACAUAGAGCUGUGCCAGUCAUACAGGGCAUGUCGAUGGUUCCCAAGCACCAAGCAGUAGUGUAUGCCAGCUUGGUCGUCGGCAUCCUAGCAGCACCACUCAACUCGAACCACAUGUUCCAUACAAAGAAAUAUCCGCUCUAACCUGUGCAUAAGAAAACGAGAGUUCUCUCUCUUUCUGGCGCUUCACUGGCCUCUGAUUUUUCUCGCCUCCAAGCUACAGCCUACAGCCACUAUCCUCCUGUUUCUGACGACGACCUGUUCGUUCCGUUCCAUAGUGGAGUACGUACCGAUAAGCAAGUAAAAGCAGCGUCAUGUCUUCAGGAAACAACCUACCGGGCCACCGGGGUGUCGCCUUCUCGCCACUUCCUCUCGUCGUUUUCACGUCACGUCACGAUCAUAGCACUGGGGGUGUUCAUUUCUCCUCCUCUGGCCGCUUCUUCUGCUUUGGCUGGAGCGGAAAAAAAGUACUGUGUCUUUGGUCGGCGAAAGCUGCAGAAAUAGGUAGUGAUGUUCCGCAGAAUUGGAACCACAAAAACUCCUGUCGCAAAAAAAUAAAAA